UUGACAUUUUAUUCCAUCUCAUGGCUGCUAAUUAAGAGACACAGAUACGAGCAGCCGAGAUGAAAUCAGCAGGAGCUGCAAGCCAUUCUUAAAAUAAAACGCAACCUCGAUUUGCUUAAAUCCUAAAUCAGCACACACGGGGUGCCUACCAUGUCAUUCACAUGGACUCCACUAGGGGGCAAUGGAUGAUUGCGUCUACAACUGAAGGGCGCUCGUGAUGGCUGCUAUCUAUGCACUUCAAGUGUGGCAGGCACUUCACACAAUGAUCAGAGCUGCAGUGGUGACAGCUUGUAUUUCUGCUGUAGAGUUGAAAGAAAGAAUGUAGCUCCUUGUCACCUGCAGUCCUGCUUAACUUAAGCUGUCAACUUGACACAGUCUAGAGCUACCUGAGAAGGGAAUCUCUAUUGAGAGAUUGCCUGGAGCAGAACAGCCUGAAGGCACAUCUGUGAGCUGUCAGUCACUGGGCAAGUGAUCGGUCCACUGUAGAAGCGGGUGACCCAGUGCUGGAUGGACUGGGCAAGGGCUCGGUCCACUGUAGAAGCAGGUGACCCAGUGCUGGGUGACCCAGUGCUGGAUGAGAAAAGCAACCAAGCAAGGCUCUACAAGCAAACCAGCAAGCAGCGUCCUCCAGUGGUUUCUGCUUCAAGUUCCUGCUAGAAUUCUGACUCCCUUCAGCAAUGGACUGUGACCCCUAAGCUGAAAUAAAGCCUUUCUCUCCUCUGGGCUAUUUUGCCAAUGGAAUUGGUCACAGAGGCAGAAUAAAAGCUGGAAGCACCUGCCUGUA
Mus musculus (house mouse) is the source of this 784-nucleotide long non-coding RNA. RefSeq annotates it as predicted gene, 54316. NCBI's taxonomy places the organism in Eukaryota, Metazoa, Chordata, Mammalia, Rodentia, Muridae. The transcript is spliced from 2 exons. The record is from RefSeq and is a predicted model, not a curated record.